GUUUAUGAAUCUGGAUGCACAUAUAGUAAAAUUGAAACUAUACAGAGAUCAGCUUAGCCCUGUGCAAAGAUGACAUGGCAAAUUUGUGAAGUGUUCAAUAUUUAA
Molecule: small nuclear RNA, 105 nt
Filed under: Jaculus jaculus (lesser Egyptian jerboa)
Lineage: Eukaryota; Metazoa; Chordata; Mammalia; Rodentia; Dipodidae
Source: RNAcentral